Non-coding RNA from Prunus avium (sweet cherry), 1040 nucleotides. The record is from RefSeq and is a predicted model, not a curated record. Lineage: Eukaryota; Viridiplantae; Streptophyta; Magnoliopsida; Rosales; Rosaceae.
CAAAAAAGAGUUUUCUUCAUAAUUUUAUUCUUUCUGUAAUUAACAAGCUUACGAACAGCAGCAACUCUGCAGGGCCAAAAAAAUACCAGAAAGAUAAUUAAAAAAGAGUCAAUUUUUAGGAAGCUAAACAAAAGAUCUCACGUCACUCACCUGAAAUAGCCACCUAGCGGAGCAAAGCCGGACUCUUUUCUUCUAUUGCAACAUUCAGCUGAAAAUUCGGCCAACAAAGGCAAAGCUUUGAGCUGAAAAACUCACUCUUCCUCUCAGAGUGGGCACAAAUAUCCUGUGUCAAAAAACAGUGGGCCAAUCUGUUUCGUGGAGAAUUCUUGUGGCAAGCUGCUCUUGCUACGACAUUUCCUUUGGCUAACCAAGCUAAAAGGUGGCCUGGACCUAUCCCUCGAGGAUUGAGCAAGAGCAGAUCAGUUUAUUGCUUGCGGUAAAUCGAGAGACAUGGCUCAUGAUCUUGCUUCCCAGAUUUGGCUGGCUGUUCUUGACAAUUUAGAGGAAAAUGAGCACACUUUUCAAAUACUUAAACGUCUCGCACAAGAGGGGGAUGUUUUUCUUCCAUACCCCUACUCAAGAUCAUUCAAAGUCCAAUGGAGGGUGUUUGAAAAGCUCUUCACAGAUUUUCGCGACUGCUUUGAUCAUGUAGAUUACUAUGAUGUGUUGGCUUGCGCAAAGACCAAAUUUCAGCCAAUACCAUCCACUUGGUUAGGUUACUGAUCCACCUCAAAUGCCUAUUUAUUCAGGAUUCAUGAGUAUUUGUAUACAUAUAGGGGUCACUCUUUGCUUCUGCCUUCCGUCUCAUCUUGAAGAGAAUGGCCGUCUGAAAAAUUGAAAGUCUUGUGUAACAUGCUUGAUAGGAGCAUAAAGAAACUGUUUAUUUUUGUACUGUUGCAUGAUUCGAAUAUGUACCCAAAUAGAGGAGAAGAGUCGCUUGAAAUUUUUUGUUGUAUAACUACAAGAACCACGAGAAUGUAGUGCAACUUGAAAUUAUAUUUUAGCACAAAAGCAGUGAACAGGAUUCUUUUUGGGUCAAA